UACGAAGGGGGCUAGCGUUGCUCGGAAUCACUGGGCGUAAAGGGUGCGUAGGCGGGUCUUUAAGUCAGGGGUGAAAUCCUGGAGCUCAACUCCAGAACUGCCUUUGAUACUGAAGAUCUUGAGUCCGGUAGAGGAGUGUGGAAUUCCCGGUGUAGCGGUGAAAUGCGCAGAUAUCGGGAGGAACACCAGUAGCGAAGGCGGCACUCUGGGCCGGUACUGACGCUGAGGAGCGAAAGCGUGGGGAGCAAACAGG
RNAcentral lists this ribosomal RNA (253 nucleotides) under uncultured bacterium. Its description in RNAcentral is "partial 16S ribosomal RNA". It matches the Rfam family "Bacterial small subunit ribosomal RNA", at positions 524 to 776 of the family's 1533-position model. The record is from RNAcentral.